Molecule: long non-coding RNA, 1270 nt
Organism: Cannabis sativa
Lineage: Eukaryota; Viridiplantae; Streptophyta; Magnoliopsida; Rosales; Cannabaceae
Exons: 4
Source: RefSeq, a predicted model, not a curated record
AAGGCCAUUUACAAUUUAAAGGAAAUAAAAAGAAAAAAUAAAAAGAAAAAACUGAUGGUGGUGUCGUGUGAAACCAAGAGCCAAGAGAGAAGAAUAAGAGAGGGAAAGAAGAGAAAUAAAGCUAGAGAGAGAAAAAGGUUUUGGUAUUUUGCUUUGAACAUCAAGUGGUUGAUUCUCAUCCAUUUUAGCUCAAAUUUUGGGUGGUGAAUCUUUCCAAGGCGCUCUACCAAUCUACCAGUUCAGAUUUGGCGAUUGUCCUCUCUAAGAUGUUCUUCUAUAAUACCCACUUGAUGAUAUCAGAGACAAUGUAGAGGCAAGGAAGAUGUUGAUUGUAUUUGAGAAUUACUGGUAAUUUCAUUUCUGAUAGACACUAAGACUCUGCAACUUCAUUCAAGUGUUGCUGCACCUUCAGCAACUGACGAGCAAACCAGAAAGGCUGCUUCUUUAAUGAAACGUAUAGACUUAAGAGAUUUUUCAGUAUUGCCAAUUCGCUAACGCUGCUUUGAAGCAACAUUAUGCGGCUUUGGAGGAAGAUGAGAUGCCAGACAUCAAAGAUGAAACAGUACCUGAUGAGGAAGGCAUGCCUAGACCAGGCGCGAUUAACCCUUUAAAAGAGUUUAAGCUUUCCAUUUAUGGGGACCAUUAUGAUGAGGAAACUGAAAAUGCUGGAGACAAAAAGGAAAGUGAUGCCUCCAAAAAGAGAAAAGCUGCUUCCGAAAUUGCAGUUCAUGAGUAUGCAAAGUAUGAUUGGAGUAAACUUGCAGACAAUGGAGAGGUUGGAGAAUUGUUUUGCUUCAGUGAUCUAUGAUUCUAUCUUGCUAAGAGAACUUAAUAAUACAAGGAAAGAGAACUUAGACGUAUUAAAAUUUUGCAUAGUUUAUACAAUAAUGGUGGCUUUUUUAAAAGAAUCCUUAAGCAUGUAGAAAAUGUAUAAAGGCUAACAAUUUAUUUUAGAUUACACCUUAGAUUUCAGAAAAUAAAAAUUUCAUGAUUUUCGACUUGCAGUUGAAGGAUUUUUGACUGUAACAGAGUUAAAGUACUUGGUAAGAAGGAAGCUCUGAUCAGUAGGAUAUUGAGUCAUGUGGGGAAAUAAGCAAGGUGAGUAUGUUUUUUCAUGUAUACCAGUAAUGUUCUUUGACUACAUACACAAGCUGUUCACCAGGGGUCAUUUUGUAUUUGUAGACUGUUUGUUGACACUUGCAUUAGAGAAGUGUUCAUGUAUAUACUUUUCUCUUUAAUAGUACAAUGAAGCGAAAAACAUUUAGGUGCA